CAAUCUGCAAACGACUGGCUCAGAGUUCACCUCGCCUUCCUUACCAAGAACUCGGCCGGUUACAUGGACAUGGACUCCCUCGCCGCUCAGUUUUUACAGCGGCAGCUCGCAGCAGCUGCCCGCCUCUCGCCUCGCUUGCCGCCUUCUCUCCUCCCCUUCGUAGCUCGUAGCUGCUCUCGACUUUGAGCAAAGCUCUGGUUGUCUUGUCUAUCCAUGGCCGUUCUUUCUCUCAGCAGGCUGGGUUUCGUGGCCCCACCUUAUCCUAGGACCAGCAGCGGCAGGCUCGCCUCAUCCUGCCGUGCCAUCGCCAGCGGCGGCGGCGGACCCCCACGCCGCAUCACCGUCGCCGGCGACCCGCCCACGGUCGUGUCGGCGCCCGGCCGCCGCAUUGUCGCCAGUACUUGGCGACGUCCACGGCGAUCUCUCCCAGACGCGAGCCGCGCUGGUGUUGGCCGGUGUCCUCAGCGCGGAAUCAGAUGGCCAUGUGUGGACAGGCGGGCGCACGGUACUUGUUCAAGUUGGGGACAUCCUUGAUCGUGGUGCAGAUGAAAUUGCUAUACUCUCCCUACUGAGCUCACUGAACGUGCAAGCCAAACCUCAAGGUGGCGCUGUGUUUCAGGUUAAUGGGAACCAUGAAACCAUGAACGUGGAAGGUGAUUUCCGAUACGUCGAUCCGGGAGGCUUUGAUGAGUGCAUGCGCUUCCUUGAGUACUUGGAUGAGUGUGAUGGGAACUGGGAUGACGCCUUUCUCAACUGGGUUAACGUCGCUGAAAGGAGGAAGAAAGAAUACAGAGCUUCACCUAAUAAUGGUGACUGGCGUUCUUGGAACUUUGUCAAGAGCUGUUUCAAAAAAUAUGCACUGGUGGGGCUAUAUAUUUUGCUUCUGCUUCUGAAAUGUUGAGCUUUAAAUGUUGAGACAGAAGCAGAAAGGGUUUGCUGCAAGAUCAUCGCUUUUCAAGCGAGGUGGCCCGCUAGCUUGUGAAUUGGCACGGCAUCCUGUUGUCCUUAAGAUCAAUGACUGGAUAUUUUGUCAUGGUGGCCUUCUUCCUCAUCACGUUGAAUACGGGAUUGGGCGUAUGAACAGAGAAGUGUCAAGGUGGAUGAAAAGUUCAGGUGAAAACAGUAAUGAUGAGACUGACAUCCCCUUCAUAGCUACUAGAGGUUAUGACAGUGUGGUAUGGAGCAGAUUGUAUUCGCAAGACUCUGCUGAAAGGACACGCCGUGCUUUGCUGCUAUCUUCCAUCGUUGCUGAGGAAACGCUGGAAUCUGUCAGAGCAAAGGGGAUGGUGGUUGGGCAUACUCCUCAGAUCCAUGGGGUGAAUUGCAAAUGCGACGGCAAAGUUUGGUGCAUUGAUGUGGGCAUGUCAUAUGGUGUUCUCUACUCAAGACCAGAGGUCCUAGAAAUAGUCAAUGAUAGUCCAAGGGUUUUGAAGAAGCGGAGGGACUCAUAUGACGAGAUGGAAGUGCUGGACUAUUUAUAAACCUUGAGAAUCAUGUGUAUAUAACAGCAAACAUUCUUUUUCCGAAGAGCUACUGUACCAGACAAUUUGGGUGGAAGUACAGGAAUAGAAGUUACAGAGAUAUAUGUAAAUUCAACUGAAGGUUUUCUCGACGUGAUUAGUAUGUUUCCUUCAGUCAGAACUGUAUUUCAUGUUUGAACAAAAUUGCACUGCACUAUGAAUUUUAUAGAUCUGGAUCUCCUAAAUUACAGCUUGGAAUCGAAGUAUCCUAUCAUAAGUAAAAUUUUGUUAGCUUACAAUUAGCCACCCUAGUUCUAUUGCCUGCAGUGCAACAGGUCUGGAAGGUGACAACUUCCUCAAGAAUCCGUACAUUUUCCAUCAGAAGACAAUAUUCUGGCACAAGAUGAAUUAUAUAACAAGGAACUAGGAUUUUCUUAAGACAUUUUUAAGUGUUGAUUCUCCCAAAAUCUGAAUAUAUCCAUAAACGAGAUCAGCUGUAGGCUUGUAGUCACCACUGUGAACCAAAUUUUCUUUUUAAAUGUCAUCCAUAUCAAUUCUUGAAGAAAACUGCAGUCGAAUGCUGGCCCACGUGAAGGGGAAGGUUUGCGGCACAUUUCGCCAAGCCGGAGCCAAAUUCUUUUGAUAGUGCUCUCACUUUCAUCAGCAUCCAAGGAUCUCUCCAUGGUAGCCUUCUUCAGAGCUGUAGGCCAUCAGGUAUCAAUGUAUCAUGCGACUAUGCAUUAUGCAAGUAUUAGAGCGAGCUGGAGGAGAUGUGAUUAUGCCGAGGCUUCUCAUGUAAAUGCUCUGUCCUCUGAAAGAAAACAUAGUCCUCUUUUAAUCUUUUUCAUGUGUUGUCACUCAAUAGCUAGAAUCCGGAAGCAUUGUAAACAUUAUUACACCAAAAUACAGAAGAAAAGCCUACAUAACCAGCUGACUCUGUUUGGAUUAUUGUCAGUAAA
Panicum virgatum (switchgrass) is the source of this 2419-nucleotide RNA transcript. It is a transcript of the gene named shewanella-like protein phosphatase 1, with no coding region annotated. The record is from RefSeq and is a predicted model, not a curated record. The transcript has 10 exons. Lineage: Eukaryota; Viridiplantae; Streptophyta; Magnoliopsida; Poales; Poaceae.